UCGAACGAUGAAGCCCAGCUUGCUGGGUGGAUUAGUGGCGAACGGGUGAGUAACACGUGAGUAACCUGCCCUUAACUCUGGGAUAAGCCUGGGAAACUGGGUCUAAUACCGGAUAGGAGCGUCCACCGCAUGGUGGGUGUUGGAAAGAUUUAUCGGUUUUGGAUGGACUCGCGGCCUAUCAGCUUGUUGGUGAGGUAAUGGCUCACCAAGGCGACGACGGGUAGCCGGCCUGAGAGGGUGACCGGCCACACUGGGACUGAGACACGGCCCAGACUCCUACGGGAGGCAGCAGUGGGGAAUAUUGCACAAUGGGCGAAAGCCUGAUGCAGCGACGCCGCGUGAGGGAUGACGGCCUUCGGGUUGUAAACCUCUUUCAGUAGGGAAGAAGCGAAAGUGACGGUACCUGCAGAAGAAGCACCGGCUAACUACGUGCCAGCAGCCGCGGUAAUACGUAGGGUGCGAGCGUUAUCCGGAAUUAUUGGGCGUAAAGAGCUCGUAGGCGGUUUGUCGCGUCUGUCGUGAAAGUCCGGGGCUUAACCCCGGAUCUGCGGUGGGUACGGGCAGACUAGAGUGCAGUAGGGGAGACUGGAAUUCCUGGUGUAGCGGUGGAAUGCGCAGAUAUCAGGAGGAACACCGAUGGCGAAGGCAGGUCUCUGGGCUGUAACUGACGCUGAGGAGCGAAAGCAUGGGGAGCGAACAGGAUUAGAUACCCUGGUAGUCCAUGCCGUAAACGU
RNAcentral lists this ribosomal RNA (734 nucleotides) under bacterium Ss64. RNAcentral describes it as "bacterial SSU rRNA". It matches the Rfam family "Bacterial small subunit ribosomal RNA", at positions 62 to 809 of the family's 1533-position model. The record is from RNAcentral.